UACGUAGGGGGCAAGCGUUGUCCGGAAUCAUUGGGCGUAAAGCGCGUGUAGGCGGUCGGGCAAGUCGGAUGUGAAAGCCCAGGGCUCAACCCUGGAAGUGCACUCGAUACUGCUCGGCUAGAGUCCCGGAGAGGAUGGUGGAACUCUCGGUGUAGAGGUGAAAUUCGUAGAUAUCGAGAAGAACACCGGUGGCGAAGGCGGCCAUCUGGACGGUGACUGACGCUGAGACGCGAAAGCGUGGGGAGCAAACAGG
This 253-nucleotide ribosomal RNA is filed under the name uncultured bacterium. RNAcentral describes it as "partial 16S ribosomal RNA". It matches the Rfam family "Bacterial small subunit ribosomal RNA", at positions 524 to 776 of the family's 1533-position model. The record is from RNAcentral.